Molecule: ribosomal RNA, 805 nt
Filed under: uncultured bacterium
Lineage: Bacteria
Description: bacterial SSU rRNA
Rfam family: Bacterial small subunit ribosomal RNA
Source: RNAcentral
AACGCUGGCGGCAUGCCUAAGACAUGCAAGUCGAACGAGGUGCCCCGAUGAAGAUGAAGUGCUUGCACAGAUUUGGAUUCGGAUCAGCACCUAGUGGCGGACGGGUGAGCAACACGUGGGUGACCUACCUUUGAGACUGGGAUACCUAUUGGAAACGAUAGUUAAUACCGGAUAACACAUUAAUUCGUUUUAAUGUUAAAAGGAGCCUUUAAAGCUUCACUCUUAGAUGGGCCUGCGGAGUAUUAGAUAGUUGGUGGGGUAAUGGCCUACCAAGUCGACGAUGCUUAGCCGAACUGAGAGGUUGAUCGGCCACAUUGGGACUGAGACACGGCCCAAACUCCUACGGGAGACAGCAGUUAGGAAUAUUCGUCAAUGGGGGAAACCCUGAACGAGCAAUGCCGCGUGAACGAUGAAGGCCCUCUGGGUUGUAAAGUUCUGUUACUUGGGAAGAAUAUCUAAGAUAAGAAAUGAUCUUAGCUUGACGGUACCAUGUCAGAAAGCUCCGGCUAACUACGUGCCAGCAGCCGCGGUAAUACGUAGGGAGCGAGCGUUAUCCGGAUUUAUUGGGCGUAAAGGGUGCGUAGGCGGUUUGUUAAGUAUGAAAUCAAAGCCUGAGGCUUAACCUCAGUUCGUUUCAUAAACUGGCAGACUAGAGUACGGUAGAGGCAAAUGGAAUUUCUAGUGUAGCGGUAAAAUGCGUAGAUAUUAGAAAGAACACCAGUGGCGAAGGCGAUUUGCUGGACCGAAACUGACGCUGAGGCACGAAAGCGUGGGGAGCGAAUAGGAUUAGAUACCCUGGUAGUCC